Molecule: transfer RNA, 87 nt
Filed under: Papiliotrema laurentii
Lineage: Eukaryota; Fungi; Basidiomycota; Tremellomycetes; Tremellales; Rhynchogastremaceae
Description: tRNA-Arg
Rfam family: tRNA
About the family: Transfer RNA (tRNA) molecules are approximately 80 nucleotides in length. Their secondary structure includes four short double-helical elements and three loops (D, anti-codon, and T loops). Further hydrogen bonds mediate the characteristic L-shaped molecular structure. tRNAs have two regions of fundamental functional importance: the anti-codon, which is responsible for specific mRNA codon recognition, and the 3' end, to which the tRNAs corresponding amino acid is attached (by aminoacyl-tRNA synthetases). tRNAs cope with the degeneracy of the genetic code in two manners: having more than one tRNA (with a specific anti-codon) for a particular amino acid; and 'wobble' base-pairing, i.e. permitting non-standard base-pairing at the 3rd anti-codon position.
Source: RNAcentral
GCAGCCAUGGCCCAGUGGUAAGGCGACAGACUUCGACGUUUGAUCGUUACAAUCUGUAGAUCGGGGGUUCGAUCCCCUCUGGCUGUU